GAUGAAGAGCGCAGCGAAAUGCGAUAAGUAAUGUGAAUUGCAGAAUUCAGUGAAUCAUCGAAUCUUUGAACGCACAUUGCGCCCAUUAGUAUUCUAGUGGGCAUGCCUGUUCGAGCGUCAUUAAUUCCACUUAAGCCCUGCUUAGUGUUGGGAAUCUACUCUAGUGGUGCUACCCUGGAGCUACCCCUGAAAGGGGGCUGGCCCGGUAGCUACCCUGUAGUUCCUCAAAGAUAGUGCGCGGAGUUGCGUGGUCCUCUGAGCUUAGUAACUAUACACCUAGCUUUUGAGUGUCCCGCGGCGCCUGCCGUUUAAACCCCAUCUUUUAAUGGUUGACCUCGGAUCAGGUAGGAAUACCCGCUGAACUUAAGCAUAUCAAUAAGCGGAGGA
Molecule: unclassified non-coding RNA, 387 nt
Filed under: soil metagenome
Description: partial contains 5.8S ribosomal RNA, internal transcribed spacer 2, and large subunit ribosomal RNA
Rfam family: 5.8S ribosomal RNA (bases 1-120)
Source: RNAcentral